This is a long non-coding RNA of Mus musculus (house mouse), 682 nucleotides long. RefSeq annotates it as predicted gene, 41311. Lineage: Eukaryota; Metazoa; Chordata; Mammalia; Rodentia; Muridae. The record is from RefSeq and is a predicted model, not a curated record. The transcript is spliced from 4 exons.
GCCUCUGGCUUCUGAUAUACCAUCAGAAUUGGACUCCUACAGGGACUACUCUCAGAUAUCUUGCUGUUGGCCAGAGUCGUGGAGAGCCACUGGCUUUGGAUUUGAUAUACAGGAUGGACUUGUCUCCUCUGCUUUUGAUCAGGGCCAUCUUGGUCAGCUUGCAAGUCUGCCACUGAGCUAUCCUUCCCCUUCAUCAGAGGCGAUGAAUCCAAGAACACAUCGUUCUGAGGAUGUGGGCUGAGAAGGAAUUCCAAACGUUAGCAUCAUCCACACGUCCAGCCGGUAAUACCCACAGAAAGAUGGCAGGUACUACUGUCUCCACCGAUGCUGAUCUGUCGCUGAUGUCGAUCUAGCUCCAUGAACAGCCUUUCAGUGACCCAUGGGCUCACAGGAUGUGGCACAUGCAGGGACCGUGAAAGGCAUUAAUGUUCUCAUGUUAAUUUUCAUCAGAAACAGCCUCCUGGUUUCUAAGAUGCUGAAAGGUUUACACAGGCACACCUUGCUUCUCUUUGCUUCCUGAUGUUUCUGAGAGUAAGUCAAAGCCUACAGGGAUGCUGAAUAAUUGAUUUCAAACGUCCUCUGGAAUUCUGGCUUGGGCCAAGUUUGUCUACAGAGCAUGUUCAUCGAUCAAGUAAGGUACACAAUGCAGAGACCGUAAUGUCAUCCUUUUCACAUUUAAAAA